GUUACCCACACCUUAUUCGGUUGCCCCUUUCACUUUGUUUUUAUACUACUAUUUGUUUUAUAUAUAUAUAUGAGAAUGUGACACACCCUUUUGAGUGUCAAUCCUAGCUGAUAAUGCACCUUAUUGCGUGGAGCCUAAGUGUGACAUAUAUAAAAGUGUCACUGUUUUCAGGUCCAAACUUAAUGAGAUGGGUGAUUGGAUAUUUUGAUAGAACUUUCAUAGUUGCUUUCACAUUUUCCUCUUGAUUAGGCUUUUUAGCACACAAAAAAAAUAAAUAAAUAAAGUUACCCCAUCUAGUUGUAGAGGCGUGACAAAUAUAUAUGAUGUCUGACAGUUACUAGAAAAAAAUUAUAUUUAAAAAAAAAAAAUAAUAAAAAUAAAUAAAUAAUUAAAAAGAUUGUGGUUUCUUGAACUAACACGGGUCAUAUAUAAGAUUUAUUAGGAAACCCAUUAAUUUUGCUUUCCUUGUUUUUUUGUUUUGACUUUUGAAUUUGUAAUGGGCAUCAGCAUCAUCACUUGUUUCUUUCAAGCAGCCAUGGUUAUAUGAGGAUAUAAUUUUGCUUAGCUACUACAGUUGGUGCAUGAACAUGGAUAUCACUAACAUAUAUGUGACUUUCCAAUUCUUCAAUUUGCUUUGAUGACUGUUUGCCACAUAUUUAAUGCCUUUUUUAUUCCCCUGCAGCCUAUUCUAGUCUAUAUGUCCAAGGUGGAUGGGAGCUUCAAGUUUAGCCCAAUUAGUGUUAAUUUUUUAACAGAGAUUACAAAGGUUUUCUUUGCUAUUACUAUGCUCUUGCUUUAGGCAAGGAAUCAAAAAGUUGGGGAGAAGCCUCUUCUCUCAAUUUCCACAUUCGUGUAGGCAGCUCGAAACAAUGUGCUUCUUGCUGUUCCAGCACUUCUUUAUGCUAUUAAUAACUAUCUAAAGUUCACAAUGCAGGAAUGCAGAUAUCGGAGAUCGAAGAUAAUUUGUUCUUGGUGGAAUUUGGAGACAGCCGAGACAAGAAGAAAAUUAUGGAGAUGAGACCGUGGAGUUAUGAGAUGCAGUUGAUAUUACUGCAUGAUUUUGAAGGGGAGUUGGUUCCUAAGGACAUCACGAUGAAAUGGUCACCCUUUUGGGUACAAAUUUACAAUUUGCCACUCAAGAGUAUGACCAGAGAGGAUGGAUAGGUGAUAGGAUCAAAAAUUGGAGAAGUUAUGGAAGUUGAUGUGCCAAAGAAAGGGGUACAGUAGGGCAAAUAUCCUCGGGUGCAAGUUCAAGUGGAUCCAUUAGAGAAAUUGAUCAGGGGAAAAAGAGUAUCUAUAGAAGAAGAUGGAGGGUAAUGGGCAUUCUUCAAAUACGAGCGCCUCCCUAAUUUUUGCUAUGUUUGUGGCAUGCUUGACCAUGGAGAGAAAGAAUGUAUGGAAAAGGAGAAUGGGGGAGUGGGUGAUGACGGAAAGGGGAUUAUGCAAUAUGGUGCAUGGCUGUGAGGGGAACCAGGAAGACGAUAUGGGUAUGAUAGUGGUUUUAGGGAAGGAAAAGGGUGGGCAGAGAAAAGAACGGAAGAGACCACUAAAGGAGGAGCGCCUGCAGGGUCGCCAGAAGGGAGGGAAGAUGUAGAACAAAAGGCGGAGGUCGGUGGAGGUCCAAUGGCAGAGACGAAUUCCUAGGCAGCCAAAAGCAAGUCUCAUUGUAUUGAGAAAACAAAGGCUAAAGACAAAAACCAAGCAGUAAUCAUAAAAUGUCAUCUUAGCCGUAAGAACACAAUUUUCAGUUAUUAGGGGGGAAUCAAGCAAAUGAAAGGAAAUGUUAAUCAAAGAAGCAAUUUUCAAUCA
This is a long non-coding RNA of Quercus lobata, 1809 nucleotides long. RefSeq lists it as uncharacterized. The record is from RefSeq and is a predicted model, not a curated record. NCBI's taxonomy places the organism in Eukaryota, Viridiplantae, Streptophyta, Magnoliopsida, Fagales, Fagaceae. The transcript is spliced from 4 exons.